AAUGAACUUUAGAAAACGAUAUUGAGCUAAUAGCUACGAAUUAAAUUAUAAUUUCAUUUGUUCCACAGUUUCUUUUACGAAAAUGUUUGGGAUGACAGCAGAUAAGACGAAAUCCACGGAGUAAAAAAGGAGAUGCCGGCAUCUUUGAUCUAACAGGGAAAUUUAAAUCGAGCAGAUCGAUUUUCAUGUACUAUUAAUUUUACGGCGUGGAAAAUUUGAAAAAGAAGAGACACCAAAAUGAGUAGAUGAAUGUGUUACAAAGAUACAACAAAAUAUUUAUUACAAAUAAUUUACUGCUGCAUAUGCAGGUUUAAAUUAUUUUUCUUUGACCGCCAUACUCCUACACUAGGCGCAUGCGCAGUGCAGCUAAAUUUAAUUCUGUUCGUGUUUUUGAAACUGGAAACUGCAUCUUCGGAUCCACAAAGCUGUUGAUUACACGGGACGAGUAAUGGAUCUAAAUUAAACGACAAUGAUUUAUCAUUUAUUGUAAUACCCAGUGACAAAAGUGGAAUACAGCUUUAUCGGCCAGGCAUUCUAUUCGGAAUUGAGAUCGUUUCCCGCUGAGGCUGAUCAAAAAAAUCAUGAGCCAACGGUAUAUGAAAUAAUUAUUACAAUCAGAGCAAGGUCGCGUAAUAUAAAACAAUGUACUCUCGAUUAGUUAUUACAACGUGUCAUUUAAGUUAUGCUAAAAAAAAUAUAACUCUUGUUACCAGUGAUAAUAACUCGUCCGUAUAAGUAAAAUAUCUUUUGCAGUCACUUAGCCGACUAACGGUAAAUAUACAUAUAUAUCUUAAACAUUUACGUGUCUGUCCAUGCAUACAUAAAGAAUACAUCGCGAGUAACUUUGUCGGAUGGUUCGACAGUUCAUAAAACAUAUACAGACGGAUCCAUAUGAUCUUCUAAUUACUUUCUAACAAUUUGUCGACGACCCAACAAUAUUACGCGCUUGUGAUGUAUCUUUUAUAUAUGCAUGUGCAUGGUUAUAUUACAUACGUAUGUAUACAUAUACACGGUCACAUUCUUAUAUGUUAUAGACCUACACCGGUAAAUCGUAACUACAUUCGUGCCCCUUUAAAACGAUACAAACAGUCGCCUCAAUUCAUGAUUUGCCACAGCAAAGACAGCGCUGAAUACAUAAUAUAUUUCGCAUCAGGACUAGUUCGAUGGCAGAUCUUCGACCGACUACAGUAUUACUGGAACAGUCAAGGAACAAUGAUGGCACAACGAUAAGUUUAAUUAAUUACACCUCGAUUAAUCUAUUCCCUUAUAGAACCAUUUCGUUUCAGGAAAAUCAGGAAACGUCCAUCGUCAUCGAAACGCAAGAGGAGUCGCAUCUCUACUUUUCCUGCUGACCAGCUAAUCAUUCUAUUAUGAGUAACAAUUGCAGUGAUUAACCGCGACGAAUCGGUUAUAAAAUUACACUCCCCGACCGAGAUCCGACAAUCGCUUAAUUAUAAACACGUUUAUAAGCGCACAAUCGUUGCGAACGCAUCGACAACUAACGCUAAUCAUCUUUGUCAUCGAGCUAUCAGCGUGUUCACGCGACGAGCUAGUUUAUUAUCAUGUGGACAGUAACUUCCGCCGACGAAGUUCGUAGCAGCUAUUCGAUAAAACAAUCGCUAUCCGCAAUAAUCUAACGCGAUGAACAUCUGCAGCGACUUAUUUAUGUACACUUUCGUUUUAAAUAUUUACAUCAUCCACUACGGCACAGAACCAUUGGCGUAACUGGACAAGGUGGGUCACUAUGGACUGAUCUUCCAUUACAGGACAUGUUGGAGUAGUAGAUUUAUUUCACUUUAUUUUGGGGAAUUAGAGAAUUUAGGAAAUUUGAGAAUUUUCCUAUUUCUAAAGUACUUUACGAAUUCUCAAACUUCCAAAUUUUCUGAUUCAUCAGGUUUCCAAAAUUGGGUACCUCACCUAGGACUGAAACUCCCAGUUACGCUAAUGCAGAGCUAGAGCGAUAAGAAGGAAGUAUUUUUGUACCAACGUUCGUGGAGUGACACGUAUCGUGUCCUCGCAAGUACAUCUCGAUAGACAACAUACAAAACGGUAUUUUUUUAUCGUUACACUUGUGGUUGCUUCCCUUUUUUUUCUUAUAAAUCGAUAUGAAUGGUUGAAAAUAACAUAGCACCGAAGGAACUUGAGCGCAACAUCACGCGUUGUCUGAUAGCUCUUGGCAAUGACUCAGAGAACUAUAACGAUACACUUACAAGCUAAUUAUCCUAACUAUUAAUAUCAUGAGUAGUAUUAAUUAUCUCUCACGAAUAACGAAGAGGUUCAGGUAACAAUUUCAACGAAUACUUCUUUCUUUCUUCGCGUUACAGCUUACUAAACUACGAACAGAGCGACUAGGUAAAAGAUGAUUGUACAUACACCAGAACUUUCUGACUGGUUGCUCAAACUCGAUCGAAGAUCAGCGAAUAAAAUGUAAAACCGAUCGAAAUGACACGAAAUCAAUGGUUAAAUACUUCUCUAGGAUAUUUCUUUAGAAUCUUUGUUUAAUUCUAGGAACUAGACUGGUCAUCUCGACGGCUACUUUGUAAAAAAUUUUGAUCGUGCUCGAUCACAUUGUGAACGAUACUAUUGUAUCAACGAUAGAAAAAAGGACAAUACAAAAUAAAAUAGAGUAAACCUUGUUGAAUUCAAUGUUAAUCCUGAGUUACAGCGUCAUGCGUUCUAUUGCCACUGCUACGUUAAUUUAGUAAGAAAUGUAAAUUUGCAAGUAAAGCGCAAGCUGAAGUAUCACGGCUACACAAAUAUCUUAAAAACGGAAGUCAGUUAAUUUACUCAGAAUCUUUGGAACAUCUACAUUGUAAUCGACAAGGUUUACUUUCUCUAAAAAUCAAUUUUGUUCGAGAAAUGAUACCGCACAAAUAAUAAUCGAAGUCCUCGUACGUUCAAACCACGUCGAUCAGAAAGAUCCAUUUCCACGGAGGAUAAGUCUAUCAUAUAAUUGCACGCUUUUAUACAAUGGAUUCGUCAAAUGUACAGGUAUAUAUACAUACAGAGAGAGAAGGAGAGAGAGAGGGGAUAUAAAAG
Molecule: long non-coding RNA, 3039 nt
Organism: Megachile rotundata (alfalfa leafcutting bee)
Lineage: Eukaryota; Metazoa; Arthropoda; Insecta; Hymenoptera; Megachilidae
Source: RefSeq, a predicted model, not a curated record